RNAcentral lists this unclassified non-coding RNA (240 nucleotides) under soil metagenome. RNAcentral describes it as "partial contains 5.8S ribosomal RNA, internal transcribed spacer 2, and large subunit ribosomal RNA". The record is from RNAcentral.
AACUGAUACUACCUGCGGGAACCUGCGGAGGGAUCAUUACUGAAGUGAUUUGGGGAUGUUGCUGGCCCUCUCUCAAGGGGGGGCACUGUGCACUCCUCGAAACAAUUCACAAUUUCCAUCACACCCCUUGUGCACACCUUGUAGGCACCCAAACCCACCUCCGGGUGGUGGGGUCCUAUGUAUUCCUUCAUCUCACACUCUGUUGAAUAGUGCCAUGGGACGCAUCUAAAGGAUUAUUUG